This is a long non-coding RNA of Fukomys damarensis (Damara mole-rat), 360 nucleotides long. RefSeq lists it as uncharacterized. NCBI's taxonomy places the organism in Eukaryota, Metazoa, Chordata, Mammalia, Rodentia, Bathyergidae. The transcript is spliced from 2 exons. The record is from RefSeq and is a predicted model, not a curated record.
GUCUUUGCCAUUGUCCUUGGACGUUGGUCUCCAGUUCCUUCAGGCUUGCAGCACAGUCUCUUCAGCCGGCUGCCGGACUCACACCCGUGACUGUGCAGCGAGCUUGCAGGCUUCUUCAGGCUUCUUCUGACUGGAUCCUGCCCUCUGGCACAUGGGUGGCCCUUUUGGAACCUCAUGGCCCCUGGGACUCUUCCUGUUCGGAUCCUGUCAGCCUGCCUCACGGUCCUGUCUCUAGUCAUACACUUUUUCUGUCGACUCUCUUCCUCCCCAGAGCCCUAACUCAUACCGAUGUCCAUGCGUGUGCUCAGGGUUAUAACUGUUGUGUAUCUCAAACACAUACUGAAAAAGAAAGAAAAAAAA